This 1438-nucleotide ribosomal RNA is filed under the name Streptococcus sp. ACS2. RNAcentral's name for it is "bacterial SSU rRNA". It matches the Rfam family "Bacterial small subunit ribosomal RNA". The record is from RNAcentral. Lineage: Bacteria; Bacillati; Bacillota; Bacilli; Lactobacillales; Streptococcaceae.
GGCGGCGUGCCUAAUACAUGCAAGUAGAACGCUGAAGAGAGGAGCUUGCUCUUCUUGGAUGAGUUGCGAACGGGUGAGUAACGCGUAGGUAACCUGCCUUGUAGCGGGGGAUAACUAUUGGAAACGAUAGCUAAUACCGCAUAACAAUGGAUGACACAUGUCAUUUAUUUGAAAGGGGCAAUUGCUCCACUACAAGAUGGACCUGCGUUGUAUUAGCUAGUAGGUGAGGUAACGGCUCACCUAGGCGACGAUACAUAGCCGACCUGAGAGGGUGAUCGGCCACACUGGGACUGAGACACGGCCCAGACUCCUACGGGAGGCAGCAGUAGGGAAUCUUCGGCAAUGGGGGCAACCCUGACCGAGCAACGCCGCGUGAGUGAAGAAGGUUUUCGGAUCGUAAAGCUCUGUUGUAAGUCAAGAACGAGUGUGAGAGUGGAAAGUUCACACUGUGACGGUAGCUUACCAGAAAGGGACGGCUAACUACGUGCCAGCAGCCGCGGUAAUACGUAGGUCCCGAGCGUUGUCCGGAUUUAUUGGGCGUAAAGCGAGCGCAGGCGGUUUGAUAAGUCUGAAGUUAAAGGCUGUGGCUCAACCAUAGUUCGCUUUGGAAACUGUCAAACUUGAGUGCAGAAGGGGAGAGUGGAAUUCCAUGUGUAGCGGUGAAAUGCGUAGAUAUAUGGAGGAACACCGGUGGCGAAAGCGGCUCUCUGGUCUGUAACUGACGCUGAGGCUCGAAAGCGUGGGGAGCGAACAGGAUUAGAUACCCUGGUAGUCCACGCCGUAAACGAUGAGUGCUAGGUGUUGGAUCCUUUCCGGGAUUCAGUGCCGCAGCUAACGCAUUAAGCACUCCGCCUGGGGAGUACGACCGCAAGGUUGAAACUCAAAGGAAUUGACGGGGGCCCGCACAAGCGGUGGAGCAUGUGGUUUAAUUCGAAGCAACGCGAAGAACCUUACCAGGUCUUGACAUCCCGAUGCUAUUUCUAGAGAUAGAAAGUUACUUCGGUACAUCGGUGACAGGUGGUGCAUGGUUGUCGUCAGCUCGUGUCGUGAGAUGUUGGGUUAAGUCCCGCAACGAGCGCAACCCCUAUUGUUAGUUGCCAUCAUUCAGUUGGGCACUCUAGCGAGACUGCCGGUAAUAAACCGGAGGAAGGUGGGGAUGACGUCAAAUCAUCAUGCCCCUUAUGACCUGGGCUACACACGUGCUACAAUGGUUGGUACAACGAGUUGCGAGUCGGUGACGGCAAGCUAAUCUCUUAAAGCCAAUCUCAGUUCGGAUUGUAGGCUGCAACUCGCCUACAUGAAGUCGGAAUCGCUAGUAAUCGCGGAUCAGCACGCCGCGGUGAAUACGUUCCCGGGCCUUGUACACACCGCCCGUCACACCACGAGAGUUUGUAACACCCGAAGUCGGUGAGGUAACCUUUUGGAGCCAGCCGCCUAA